RNAcentral lists this ribosomal RNA (515 nucleotides) under uncultured bacterium. RNAcentral's name for it is "partial 16S ribosomal RNA". It matches the Rfam family "Bacterial small subunit ribosomal RNA", at positions 28 to 523 of the family's 1533-position model. The record is from RNAcentral.
GAUGAACGCUGGCGGCGUGCCUAAUACAUGCAAGUCGAGCGAAUGGAUUAAGAGCUUGCUCUUAUGAAGUUAGCGGCGGACGGGUGAGUAACACGUGGGUAACCUGCCCAUAAGACUGGGAUAACUCCGGGAAACCGGGGCUAAUACCGGAUAACAUUUUGAACCGCAUGGUUCGAAAUUGAAAGGCGGCUUCGGCUGUCACUUAUGGAUGGACCCGCGUCGCAUUAGCUAGUUGGUGAGGUAACGGCUCACCAAGGCAACGAUGCGUAGCCGACCUGAGAGGGUGAUCGGCCACACGGGGACUGAGACACGGCCCAGACUCCUACGGGAGGCAGCAGUAGGGAAUCUUCCGCAAUGGACGAAAGUCUGACGGAGCAACGCCGCGUGAGUGAUGAAGGCUUUCGGGUCGUAAAACUCUGUUGUUAGGGAAGAACAAGUGCUAGUUGAAUAAGCUGGCACCUUGACGGUACCUAACCAGAAAGCCACGGCUAACUACGUGCCAUCCACCGCUGUAA